Molecule: ribosomal RNA, 506 nt
Filed under: uncultured bacterium
Lineage: Bacteria
Description: partial 16S ribosomal RNA
Rfam family: Bacterial small subunit ribosomal RNA
Source: RNAcentral
ACUGAACGCUGGCGGCAGGCUUAACACAUGCAAGUCGAGCGGUAACAGAGAGAAGCUUGCUUCUCUGCUGACGAGCGGCGGACGGGUGAGUAAUGCCUAGGAAUCUGCCUAGUAGUGGGGGAUAACUUGCCGAAGGGUAAGCUAAUACCGCAUACGUCCUACGGGAGAAAGGAGGGGACCUUCGGGCCUUUCGCUAUUAGAUGAGCCUAGGUCGGAUUAGUUAGUUGGUGAGGUAAUGGCUCACCAAGACCGCGAUCCGUAACUGGUCUGAGAGGAUGAGCAGUCACACUGGAACUGAGACACGGUCCAGACUCCUACGGGAGGCAACAGUGGGGAAUAUUGGACAAUGGGGGGAACCCUGAUCCAGCCAUGCCGCGUGUGUGAAGAAGGUCUUAGGAUUGUAAAGCACUUUAAGUUGGGAGGAAGAGCAGUUAACUAAUAUUUGACUGUUUUGACGUUACCGACAGAAUAAGCACCGGCUAACUUCGUGCCAGCCGCCGCAGUAA